UGUGGCCUUUUCGUAUCCCGACAUUAUAUCCCGUAGCGACUAGGGUGCUCAGUCUGCUAGCAAAUCCAUCCCUAACCUUAAACAUCCGGUUGAAUACGCAGUGAUUCACCAUACAGCAUCCCAGAGUUGCUCAACUAUCGAUGACUGCAAAGAAUAUAUAAAAAAAAUACACAGGCUGCUCACAUCGAAAGUUCAACGAUUGGAUCUGAUAUCGCUUACAACUUUCUUGUGGAUGAAAACGGAAACGUUUACGAAGGAAGAGGAUGGAAUAAAGUUGGCUAUCAUGCUGGUGUAUGGAAAAUUAAUAAAAACAGUAUUGGAAUCGCUGUCAUUGGAAAUUUCAUGACCGAAAAGCCGUCUACAGCAGCCCAGGAUGCUGUAAAGAGUCUGUUGGAAAUGGCUGUAAAUGAAAGAAAGCUUAAUUCCACCUACAAGUGAAAAGUACUACUGAAUGUCCAGGAGAUCAAUUUUAC
Long non-coding RNA from Mercenaria mercenaria, 473 nucleotides. RefSeq lists it as uncharacterized. The record is from RefSeq and is a predicted model, not a curated record. The transcript has 3 exons. Lineage: Eukaryota; Metazoa; Mollusca; Bivalvia; Venerida; Veneridae.